RNAcentral lists this ribosomal RNA (374 nucleotides) under uncultured organism. Its description in RNAcentral is "partial 16S ribosomal RNA". It matches the Rfam family "Bacterial small subunit ribosomal RNA", at positions 527 to 896 of the family's 1533-position model. The record is from RNAcentral.
GUAGGUGGCAAGCGUUGUCCGGAAUUAUUGGGCGUAAAGCGCGCGCAGGCGGUUCUUUAAGUCUGAUGUGAAAGCCCACGGCUCAACCGUGGAGGGUCAUUGGAAACUGGAGAACUUGAGUACAGAAGAGGAAAGCGGAAUUCCACGUGUAGCGGUGAAAUGCGUAGAGAUGUGGAGGAACACCAGUGGCGAAGGCGGCUUUCUGGUCUGUAACUGACGCUGAGGCGCGAAAGCGUGGGGAGCAAACAGGAUUAGAUACCCAGGUAGUCCACGCCGUAAACGAUGAGUGCUAAGUGUUAGGGGGGUUUUCCGCCCCCCUUAGUGCUGCAGCUAACGCAUUAAGCACUCCGCCUGGGAGUACGGCCGCAAGGCUG